RNAcentral lists this long non-coding RNA (853 nucleotides) under Mytilus galloprovincialis (Mediterranean mussel). Lineage: Eukaryota; Metazoa; Mollusca; Bivalvia; Mytilida; Mytilidae. The record is from RNAcentral.
CCAUACAUGGGGCCAGGUUAUUUUAGCCCCUUUUUAAAGUUUUCAAUCUGACUAGUCAUGUAAGCUGUGAUCCUUAUUGUAGUAGAUUACAUGUGUGAAAUGUGAUAAGCAAAAGUGUGACUGCUAUGUACAUGGUAUCUAUGUGAUGUCACUUUAUAUGUAUACAGCAAAAACUAUGAUGUGAUAACAAGUUCUCUUGAAAAUGUUUCAAUUCUAAUUCAAUUUUAUGAUCAGUUACGAUAAAUGAUCUAAAUUACAAACAUAUUUUCUCAUAUCAAACAUAUUUUCUAUAUGAGAAAAUUGGUUUCAAUACAUGAAAGAUUCAACAUGUAGGAACAUAGCCAUGGAUAAAUAAAAAAGGAAAUGACUUAAAGCACCAUUUGCAAGGAUUUGUCUUACUAUACAAAUCCCUGCGAUUUGCAAGAAAAUAAUUUAUACAUACUUUAGACUCGGCUGAUAAUAUAAAAGAAUAUUGUGUAAGGCAUGUAUUGAUUGUUUGUUAAGUAUAAUGUGUAUUUAUAUGUAUGAUAUUCAUAUUUAUUGUGUGUGAAUGGUAUAUGCUAAAAGUAAUGUUUUAUGCUAUUUGUGCUACCUGCAGGUGCUGUCUCUGUUGUGUAAUAGUGUGCUAGACCUACAGUGCUGUUAGUGCUUUGAUCAAAAUUUGGGAAACUGAAAUAUGUUUCUUUGUGUUUGUUCUAUUGUUAAAUAUGUUAAAUGAUUGUAAAUUUUAGAAUGAAAGCCAAACUGAUGUGAUAUAAGCUGUUUGAAUGUUGUUUUGUUGUCUAAUUUUUAAGGAUAAAAUGUAAAAGUUAACAGUAAUUUUAAAUUCAUUUGAUUUUACAGUUUACCUACA